GAUAAUAUUUAAGGUAGUAAAAAGUGUGUAUUGCAAAAAAAAAAAAGAGAGAAAAAGGAAAAAAAUGAAUGUUUUUAAUUUUUCUAUAUCUAGAACCCAAGUAAUUAAGUUCGAAGGGGUGUUUCAACACCUAGUUCCCUAAGGUCAAUUGGUCUGGGAGUCACUAGCCUAAAGGUCUCUACAUGGGUAAUAGAUAUAUUGUUUGCUUAUUAGAAACUCGAGUAAUUAAGUCUGUAAGGGUGUUUCAACACCUAGUGCCCUAAGGCCAUAGUCUGGGAGUCACUGGCCUAAAGCUCGCUACGUGGGUUAAAAUUUUAAUAUUUUUAACUUAUAUGUGUGAAUAAUCUACUACCUAAAGAUAGAAUUUCUAAUGAAUUUUGGAACAAAAAUGUUGUUUUUCUUUUAAUGAAGCCCCAUAAGUAUUGUGUUAAUUGCUUGAGCACAAAAGAAGGUUUGAUAAUAUUCUGGAUAAUGAGUGAAUACCAAAGAGGUAAAGAAAUCUGGGAGAGUUUAUUUAUUUGGUAGUUUAGAGGAUAGACGAACAAUUAUUAACUUGCAUGUGAAUUUUGUAAAUCUUAAUUUAAUAUAAUGUUUUAAUAUCUAGGGGCUAGCAAUAAGCUGGUUGGGGAUAUGAUUAGUAUUAAAAAUUGUUUAAUUAUUAAGCGAUAAUAAUGUUAUUUUGUGCUUAUGUCAUAAUUUAUAUUUGUGUUUAUGCAAUAUAUUAGGAAUUAUUAAUUAUGUAUUAAAUAUAUCUAAUUUUGUGUAUUUUUGUGUGUUUAUUAGGGAAAAUAUUAAUUUCAUGUAAUUCGAGGCUCUAAACAGAUAAACGGAUGUCAAAUUUGGAUUUCGGAGGUCCGAAAACCUUAAGAUGAGUCAAGAUCGCCUUAAAAUUGGGCUUGUGUAAAAAGAGUUGAGUUUUCUUGUUGACCGAGCACUGAUUGGAUAAUAAAAUGAGCUUACAAUAGAUAUGAGUGCAUGGGAUAGCUGGCAAUUUUGACUAAAUCUCAACCAUUCAUGAUUCAAUGGCCAUGAUUGUGCCACGUGGCAAUGGUUGGUGAAGCAAUUUGUAGGAUCCGAAUAUUUGUAUUUGGGUCGACCCGAUCCACCCCAUUAACCUGCUGAAUUUCAACCGUUCUUUGGCCAAAUCAGACGAGUCAAAUUAUGCCACGUGUGAUGUUGACUUUUAAAGUUUGACUAGCUGUUGUAUCUUGAUCUAAUGGUUGCUAGGAGCGCAUGCAUGAAACUUAUGAUAGACCGCAAAACAUUGGAUUUUGAAUUUAUUUUUCAAUAAAUUGAGCCUCAUUUUUAUGUUUUUAAUCAUCUCUCUACAUCUCGUUUCUUCUCAAUUUCUCUUAAUCUCCUUGUAAUCUUGUUUUCUAAGUGUGUUUUUAAUAUUUUGUAUAAUUAUUUUUACAAAUUAAUUUAGUUUUAUUUUCAAAUUUAGUUGUUUUUAUUACU
RNAcentral lists this long non-coding RNA (1458 nucleotides) under Citrus x clementina. RNAcentral's name for it is "Citrus clementina (C. clementina) long non-coding RNA (CCLE_LNC006597)". The record is from RNAcentral. Lineage: Eukaryota; Viridiplantae; Streptophyta; Magnoliopsida; Sapindales; Rutaceae.